AUGAAAAUGUCGCGGAACACCGACACCCCGCACAGCCGAAGAUACGCAGCCCUUCUUCCUCCUCCCGCACAGCAAGAUCCCGCAGCUCCAGAUCAUCCACCGCUAUCGGCACAGCCAAGGACCGCCGCACCACAUGCAGCAGCCAAACACACCCACUCCAGGCAGCAUCCGGCAGCAACACAGCGGUCGCGGCCAAGGGCCUACCCCAGAUCCAGAAAUGCCACCAGGAGGCCACCAACCACCACGGCUGGGCGCCGCCACCAGGAGGCCGCCGCCGCACACCAGGACGAGUGCCGCCUCCUCCAAGACGAUCCGCGCUGCCGCCGCACACCAGGACGAGCGCCGCCUCCACCAUGGCCGAGCCGCGCCGCCACCACCAUGGCCGAACCGCGCCGCCACCACUCUCCUACGCCGGCGCCUCCCGAACGGAAACACCCUCCCGCGCCUCCUGUGCAAGAUCCGGCCGUGCUCCGCCCCGCCGCUGCGCCCCUCGCCGUGGACCACCGCACCGGAGAAAUCCACCCACGCCGCCCGCUGACGCCGCUCCCUCGCGCGAGGGAGGCCCGUCGGGGCGCGCUCGCCAUGCCCGCCGCCUUUGACGGCCGGGCGCCGCCACUACCGCCGGCGCCGGCGGCAGCGACGGCUGGGGGAUCUCGGGAAGGGAGGGUUUCUGGCGCUAGGGUUUGGGGCCUCCGGAGCCGCCCGCGCGUGCGGCUCGGGAGGUUCGUCCUUCAAAGUUCCACCUACUUGGUUUCGGGGGGAGAAAAGGUUGGUUCCUACCGCAUCUUCUGA
Molecule: ribosomal RNA, 792 nt
Filed under: Triticum aestivum (bread wheat)
Lineage: Eukaryota; Viridiplantae; Streptophyta; Magnoliopsida; Poales; Poaceae
Description: partial small subunit ribosomal RNA
Source: RNAcentral